Molecule: long non-coding RNA, 1592 nt
Organism: Sus scrofa (pig)
Lineage: Eukaryota; Metazoa; Chordata; Mammalia; Artiodactyla; Suidae
Source: RefSeq, a predicted model, not a curated record
ACAUAAACUCUGAAGUUUGUUCUGUUUGUCAAUAAACUUGAAAGCAAGGGAUUUGCUUUGUUUACAGAGGGAGACAUCCUCUCCAGCAGGAUUCUGCCAUGUACUCUGUGCCCUAUCCACUGCCUUCCAGCCAGACAGGCCAGAGCCAAACCCCGUUCUCUCUUGAGUGGCAGCCAAGCCCCUGCCUGAGUCUUGGUUUCAAAUGGUCAUUCAAAUCCAUCCACACAGUGUCUGGUCUGCAAUAGAGACCAGUGUCCCUUUUUAUGUGACAUUUGGGAUAUACUUGGCUAUACCAGGAACACAGGGGUGCUCUCAAGUUCCCUUAGUGCAGUAAGGGGAAACUAUCAUAUUUCUUAGAGUUGGAAGGAAUCUAGAUAUCAUCUUGUUCAGUGAUUCCCAAAUCUAGCCUUGGGUAGGGAUCACCCAGGGAACGUUCAAAACGUAAGCAUCCCUAGGCUUCAUCUGAGCGAUAUUCAAUCAGGGUGGCAGGGGAGAGCUGGGCCUUAAAAAAGCUCUGCGGAUGAUUUGGUUACGGUCAACCUGGCACCAGCAUUUGGAAAUCACUGCACAGGGGAAUCUGAGGCCCAGAGAAGGUGACUGACCACUCAUGCUUGCUCCAUGUUAAGUAGUUGACUGACUCGGAGUUGUCAGUGAUUGAGUAGUUGACCGACUCCUAGUUAAGGGUCGGUUUCAUACGCCAGCUUUCUCCUGCAGUGGUGCCAGGGCUUUCAUCCUGGUGAUGUUUGCAAGAUGGAGAACAAAAAGGAGAGUUAUAAAGAGCUGUUUACACCUUUCAUCAGAAAGCAUCCAUGAAAGGCCUUCUGCAUACACCCUUCCAAGGGAGAACAGCCUGCAUCCAGCUUUAGCAGAGUACAUGGGCUGACUCCGUCGUUCCUCCAGCUAUUGGUAUUCUGCAGCAGCUGUCUGAUGGAGAUGGAGCUCUCUGACAAGGAUGGGCCGGAACUCCAGCUGCUGCACUCCUCAAACCUGACUGUGCAUCAGAAUCACCCAGAGGGGCUCGUGGAAAUCUGCCUGCCAGGCCCCAUCUCCUUUCCAGAGUGUUGGAAUCAGGAGAUCCAGGGUGGGGCUCAAGAAAGUGCAUUUCUAACAUGUUCUCCUCAGUGAAAAAAUGUCAUUUAUUAGGUCAUUUUAUUGCAUCAUAAUGUUUGGAGUCAUGACUGGCAGAUUUCACCUCCCCUUUUAAGUCCAGGCAGAGCCAGACACCAGCCCUGUUGGCUGAGGCAUCCACCUUUGAUUGAGAGCCAAGGAAGAGCAAGAGGACAGGCCCCAGCAGAACGUGGCUGAUCUGCUGGGUAGACCAAGACCUUGGCGUUGGCCUCUCAAUUUCUGGUAUGAGAUGGGCCUGCUUAGGUUUUCUGCUUCUUUUUGAAUGAAUUUUGAAAUUUUACGUUUUCCUCAAAAAGUAUCCAUUUCGCUCAAACCUUGGAAACAGGAACACAUAUUUGUACAAACGAUUAUUUUAUAAGAUUUAAAUUUCCUAUAUAUAAAUAUCAAAUCAAUAUGUUGCAUACCUGAAACCAAUAUGAUGUUACAUGUCAAAUACAUCUCAAUAAAGAAAGCUAAAAAAAGAA